Molecule: unclassified non-coding RNA, 240 nt
Filed under: soil metagenome
Description: partial contains 5.8S ribosomal RNA, internal transcribed spacer 2, and large subunit ribosomal RNA
Source: RNAcentral
AAGACUAUAGACCUGCGGAGUACCUGCGGAAGGAUCAUUACCGAGUUUUCAACUCCCUAACCCUUCUGUGAACCUACCUAUCGUUGCUUCGGCGGACUCGCCCCAGCCCGGACGCGGACUGGACCAGCGGCCCGCCGGGGACCCCAAACUCUUGUAUUCCAGCAUCUUCUGAAUACGCCGCAAGGCAAAACAAAUGAAUCAAAACUUUUAACAAUGGAUCUCUAGAUCGGAAGAGCACAC